GAUGAACGCUGGCGGCGUGCCUAAUACAUGCAAGUCGAGCGAACGGACGAGGAGCUUGCUCCUCUGAGGUUAGCGGCGGACGGGUGAGUAACACGUGGAUAACCUACCUAUAAGACUGGGAUAACUUCGGGAAACCGGAGCUAAUACCGGAUAAUAUGUUGAACCGCAUGGUUCAACAGUGAAAGACGGUCUUGCUGUCACUUAUAGAUGGAUCCGCGCUGCAUUAGCUAGUUGGUAAGGUAACGGCUUACCAAGGCAACGAUGCAUAGCCGACCUGAGAGGGUGGUCGGCCACACUGGAUCUGAGACACGGUCCAGACUCCUACGGGAGGCAGCAGUAGGGAAUCUUCCGCAAUGGGCGAAAGCCUGACGGAGCAACGCCGCGUGAGUGAUGAAGGUCUUCGGAUCGUAAAACUCUGUUAUUGGGGAAGAACAAAUGUGUAAGUAACUGUGCACAUCUUGACGGUACCUAAUCAGAAAGCCACGGCUAACUACGUG
This 497-nucleotide ribosomal RNA is filed under the name uncultured bacterium. Its description in RNAcentral is "partial 16S ribosomal RNA". It matches the Rfam family "Bacterial small subunit ribosomal RNA", at positions 28 to 507 of the family's 1533-position model. The record is from RNAcentral.